CUUGAAUUCCUAUAAGAGGUCCAGCCUGCCCAGUGACUUUGUUCAACGGCCGCGGUAUCCUAACCGUGCGAAGGUAGCGUAAUCACUUGUCUUUUAAAUGAGGACUUGUAUGAAUGGCAUCACGAGGGUUAUACUGUCUCCUUUCUCUAAUCAGUGAAACUAAUCUUCCCGUGAAGAAGCGGGAAUAAAUAUAUAAGACGAGAAGACCCUAUGGAGCUUUAAACUUAAUAACAAAUACUAACCUUACUUCAACUUCCAGAACAUUAAUCUUAAUUUUAGUAUCGUGUUUAUUAGUUUUAGGUUGGGGUGACCGCGGAGUAAAAAUUAACCUCCAUAUUGAAUAGGACUUGUCCUUGAGCUAAGAACUACAACCCUAAGCACCAAUAAAUUGACAUUAAUUGACCCAAUAUUUUGAUCAACGAAC
Molecule: ribosomal RNA, 424 nt
Filed under: Osteocephalus leprieurii group sp. ABGD cluster 10
Lineage: Eukaryota; Metazoa; Chordata; Amphibia; Anura; Hylidae
Description: partial large subunit ribosomal RNA
Rfam family: Bacterial large subunit ribosomal RNA
Source: RNAcentral